This 460-nucleotide ribosomal RNA is filed under the name uncultured bacterium. Its description in RNAcentral is "bacterial SSU rRNA". It matches the Rfam family "Bacterial small subunit ribosomal RNA", at positions 38 to 526 of the family's 1533-position model. The record is from RNAcentral.
GGCGGCGUGCCUAACACAUGCAAGUCGAACGAGGUAGCAAUACCUAGUGGCAGACGGGUGAGUAACGCGUGGUCAACCUACCGUUGAGUGGGGGAUAACUAAUCGAAAGGUUAGCUAAUACCGCAUACGUGAUCGGGGGGCAUCCCCUGAUUAUAAAAGGAGCAAUCCGCUCGAUGACGGGACCGCGUCCCAUUAGCUAGUUGGUGGGGUAACGGCCUACCAAGGCACCGAUGGGUAGCUGGUUUGAGAGAGCGACCAGCCACACUGGGACUGAGAAACGGCCCAGACUCCUACGGGAGGCAGCAGUGAGGAAUUUUCCGCAAUGGGCGAAANCCUGACGGAGCGACGCCGCGUGUGGGAAGAAGGCCUUCGGGUCGUAAACCACUGUCGAAGGGGACGAUAAUGACGGUACCCUUGGAGGAAGCCCCGGCUAACUACNUGCCAGCAGCCGCGGUAAGAC